This 458-nucleotide ribosomal RNA is filed under the name uncultured Aminicenantes bacterium. RNAcentral describes it as "bacterial SSU rRNA". It matches the Rfam family "Bacterial small subunit ribosomal RNA", at positions 932 to 1382 of the family's 1533-position model. Lineage: Bacteria; Candidatus Aminicenantota. The record is from RNAcentral.
GCGGAGCGUGUGGUUUAAUUCGUUGACUACGACGAAGAACCUUACUGGGCUUGGAACUGCGGGUAUAGCUGCCUGAAAAGGUUAGUCGAUCCCCUUCGGGGAACCUGUAGAGGUGCUGCAUGGCUGUCGUCAGGCUCGUGUCGUGAGAUGUUGGGUUAAGUCCCGCAACGAGCGCAACCCUUGCCAUUAGUUGUCAGCGAGUCAUGUCGGAUACUCUAAUGGGACUGCCGGUGACGAGCCGGAGGAAGGUGGGGAUGACGUCAAGUCAGCAUGGCCUUUAUGUCCAGGGCCACACACGUGCUACAAUGGACGGUACAGAGGGACGCAAGACCGCAAGGUGGAGCAAAUCCUCAAAACCGUUCUCAGUUCGGAUUGUAGGCUGCAAUUCGCCUACAUGAAGCUGGAAUUGCUAGUAAUCGCAGAUCAGCUACGCUGCGGUGAAUACGUUCUCGGGCCUU